GCCGAUGUAGCUCAGGGGCUAGAGCAACUGAUUCGUAAUCAGUAGGUCGGAGGUUCAAAUCCUCUCAUCGGCU
RNAcentral lists this transfer RNA (73 nucleotides) under Candidatus Poribacteria bacterium. RNAcentral's name for it is "tRNA-Thr". It matches the Rfam family "tRNA". Rfam says of the family: Transfer RNA (tRNA) molecules are approximately 80 nucleotides in length. Lineage: Bacteria; Candidatus Poribacteria. The record is from RNAcentral.